UCGCUCCCGGCCAGGUACGGACCGCGGAGAGGAACUUCCGGACUCCACAAGGCAAUGCGCCGUUUGAAAAAACGGGACGGUGAAGCCAUAUCUUCACCGGACGGAAAGUGCCACAGAAAAUAAACCGCCCGCAAGGGUAAGGAUGAAAAGGUGCGGUAAGAGCGCACCGCAUGCCGGGCAACCGGCAUGGCAAGGUAAACCCCGCAUGGAGCAAGGCCAAGCCGGUCCACAUGUCGCCUGCAUUCGUGACCAAGUAGGCCGCUUAGAGUAAUGAUUAUCACAAUCCGCAAGGAUUGACAGAAUCCGGGGUAUGGG
Molecule: RNase P RNA, 315 nt
Filed under: bovine gut metagenome
Description: Bacterial RNase P class A
Rfam family: Bacterial RNase P class A
About the family: Ribonuclease P (RNase P) is a ubiquitous endoribonuclease, found in archaea, bacteria and eukarya as well as chloroplasts and mitochondria. Its best characterised activity is the generation of mature 5'-ends of tRNAs by cleaving the 5'-leader elements of precursor-tRNAs.
Source: RNAcentral